AACGAACGCUGGCGGCAUGCAUAAUACAUGCAAGUCGAACGAUCACUUCGGUGGUAGUGGCGCACGGGUGCGUAACGCGUGGGAAUCUGCCCUUGGGUUCGGAAUAACGUCGGGAAACUGACGCUAAUACCGGAUGAUGACGUAAGUCCAAAGAUUUAUCGCCCAGGGAUGAGCCCGCGUAGGAUUAGCUAGUUGGUGGGGUAAAGGCCUACCAAGGCGACGAUCCUUAGCUGGUCUGAGAGGAUGAUCAGCCACACUGGGACUGAGACACGGUCCAGACUCCUACGGGGGGCAGCAGUAGGGAAUAUUGGACAAUGGGGGCAACCCUGAUCCAGCAAUGCCGCGUGAGUGAUGAAGGCCUUAGGGUUGUAAAGCUCUUUUACCCGGGAUGAUAAUGACAGUACCGGGAGAAUAAGCCCCGGCUAACUCCGUGCCAGCAGCCGCCGUAA
This 449-nucleotide ribosomal RNA is filed under the name uncultured bacterium. RNAcentral describes it as "partial 16S ribosomal RNA". It matches the Rfam family "Bacterial small subunit ribosomal RNA", at positions 29 to 523 of the family's 1533-position model. The record is from RNAcentral.